AGAAUUAGAACUGUUAGGUACCAAAGCUGUUUUCAGCAUAGGUAGCCUGCGAAAAAAUCAGUGAGAUCGCACUCGAGAUUAAUUUUUUUUAAAUGGCACCUCUCCGAGAAAAAAAUUCCUUGCUUCCAAAAAAGUGUCAUUACGUAUAAUUCAUACGAGUAAUAAUCUUCAAUAGGUAAUGUAGGCUCACGUAAAAUUAUUUUCAUCUUGACAAUCAUAUUGAACGAAGAUUUCCGUAUCUUUUUUUUGCUACUAGGUACUAUUAAUGAAUCCAUUUCUUCUCCAGCUUCCGAGCACGCACCCGUUACAUUUAACCAAUCAUAUAAUUCGUAUUGUCGCUUCCACUCCAGCGUUACGAUCGAUAAAAUUUCAUUCGCGUGCUUGACAAGACCGACUCCAGCUUAUACUUGUUUUAGGAAGGGUGCGAUAUCAGCAGAGCAGAAACCGUGGAUCUUGGUGAACGCAGGACUGCUAGGUUAAUGGGGCAUUUUGAAGAGCAAUAAUCUGUCGCAUCUCCAUCUAUACGUUCCAUUCAAAAAUAAAUGCAAUCUUUCAAUAGUAUUUCGGUAUGAAACUUGAGAAUAUCCUAGAGCGGUAACUGGUAAUUUUCUCCAUCGAAAAAUGAAUAGUCUAAGUUAUAUACCUACAUAUGUAUGUACGUACAUGUAGGUACUAGGUACAUAGGCUACAUACUCAACUUGUGCAGAUUUUUAUUUCUUUACAGUGUUGUGAUAUUCGUGCAAGUGGUUUUUGAUAAAUUGGUAGACGAGUGGACGCCGCUGUUUUGAAACUGAAGAAUUAUUAUUAUAUAUGUGAUGAGCGUCGAAGAAAUCUAGAAAAAAAAGUGUUCGGUUAAUAUAACAUUAUUCAACGCAAUCCACAUUUCGAAACAAAUUAAUAUUAUAUCUUGAGAAGAUUUCUCGACUGAGCUGAUCAACUGAAAAAUCAGAUAAAACCGAAUAACAACGUACCUGUUGAAAAAAUUGCUGCAAAAGUUUCGCUCCUGAUUGAAUAAGAAUGCAUUGACAAACCCAAAACGAGAUGCUAAUAUUAAUAAAAGAGCAAAUUGAAAAAUAAGUGAAGAAAAUACUGAAUGUGAAAUCUUCAAUACGAAAACAGUAGCAAAUAGUGGUACUUAUGACUAAUGAUAUCGACAGAACGAAGAAUGUAAUUUUUUUCACCAUUCGUUGCACAUCAAUUUUAAUUUCCUUGCUCGCAUUCACGCAAUACAAAAGCUGGAAAAAAUAGAAUAAAAAUAGGAUAAUAUUUCAAAAAUGUCACGAUUUUAAUGUAAGCGUAUAAAAUAUAUUUACCUGAAAUUGA
Molecule: long non-coding RNA, 1323 nt
Organism: Planococcus citri (citrus mealybug)
Lineage: Eukaryota; Metazoa; Arthropoda; Insecta; Hemiptera; Pseudococcidae
Exons: 3
Source: RefSeq, a predicted model, not a curated record